Molecule: ribosomal RNA, 253 nt
Filed under: uncultured bacterium
Lineage: Bacteria
Description: partial 16S ribosomal RNA
Rfam family: Bacterial small subunit ribosomal RNA
Source: RNAcentral
UACGUAGGUGGCAAGCGUUGUCCGGAAUUAUUGGGCGUAAAGCGCGCGCAGGCGGCCUUUUAAGUCUGAUGUGAAAGCCCACGGCUCAACCGUGGAAGGUCAUUGGAAACUGAAAGGCUUGAGUACAGAAGAGGAAAGCGGAAUUCCACGUGUAGCGGUGAAAUGCGUAGAGAUGUGGAGGAACACCAGUGGCGAAGGCGGCUCUCUGGGACGGUACUGACGCUGAGACGCGAAAGCGUGGGGAGCAAACAGG